This 252-nucleotide RNase P RNA is filed under the name Halieaceae bacterium. Its description in RNAcentral is "partial RNase P RNA component class A". It matches the Rfam family "Bacterial RNase P class A", at positions 94 to 367 of the family's 367-position model. Rfam says of the family: Ribonuclease P (RNase P) is a ubiquitous endoribonuclease, found in archaea, bacteria and eukarya as well as chloroplasts and mitochondria. Its best characterised activity is the generation of mature 5'-ends of tRNAs by cleaving the 5'-leader elements of precursor-tRNAs. Cellular RNase Ps are ribonucleoproteins. The record is from RNAcentral. Lineage: Bacteria; Pseudomonadati; Pseudomonadota; Gammaproteobacteria; Cellvibrionales; Halieaceae.
GCGAGCCUACGGAAAGUGCAACAGAAAGGAAACCGCCUGCUUGCAGGUAAGGGUGAAAAGGUGCGGUAAGAGCGCACCGCGCGGUUGGCAACAAGCGUGGCGAUGGUAAACCCCGUCCGGAGCAAGACCAAAUAGGAAUCCAAUACCGUGACCCUCGGUGGAUUCGGGUAGGUCGCUUCAGGCGAACGGUGACGUUCGUCGCAGAUGAAUGAUCGUCCGAGACAGAACCCGGCUUAUCGACCCACUCAUUAU